GACGAACGCUGGCGGCGUGCUUAACACAUGCAAGUCGAACGGAAAGGCCUGCUUUCCCUUGUGGAUUGCGGGUACUCGAGUGGCGAACGGGUGAGUAACACGUGAGUGAUCUGCCCCCAACUUGGGUAUAAGCAUGGGUAACUGUGUCUAAUUCCCGCUUGGACUGCAGGGUUUUGCCUUUGGUGGUAAACUAUCUUCUAGUAGUUGGGGAUGCGCUCGCUGUCUAUUAGCUUGUUGGUGGGGUGAUGGCCUACGAAGGCGGCGAUGGGUAGCCGGGCUGGGAGGAUGAUCAGCCACCCUGGGACUGAGACACGGCCCAGACUCCUACGGGAGGCAGCAGUGGGGAAUAUUGGACAAUGGGCGAAAGCCUGAUCCAGCAAUGCCGCGUGAGUGAGGAAGGCCUUAGGGUUGUAAAGCUCUUUUACCCGGGAUGAUAAUGACAGUACCGGGAGAAUAAGCUCCGGCUAACUCCGUG
RNAcentral lists this ribosomal RNA (475 nucleotides) under uncultured bacterium. RNAcentral describes it as "partial 16S ribosomal RNA". It matches the Rfam family "Bacterial small subunit ribosomal RNA", at positions 28 to 507 of the family's 1533-position model. The record is from RNAcentral.